Molecule: ribosomal RNA, 254 nt
Filed under: uncultured bacterium
Lineage: Bacteria
Description: partial 16S ribosomal RNA
Rfam family: Bacterial small subunit ribosomal RNA
Source: RNAcentral
UACGGAGGGAGCUAGUGUUGUUCGGAAUUACUGGGCGUAAAGCGCACGUAGGCGGUUUCUUAAGUCAGGGGUGAAAUCCUGGAGCUCAACUCCAGAACUGCCUUUGAUACUGGGAGACUUGGAGUCCGAGAGAGGUGAGUGGAACUGCGAGUGUAGAGGUGAAAUUCGUAGAUAUUCGCAAGAACACCAGUGGCGAAGGCGGCUCACUGGCCCGGUACUGACGCUGAGGUGCGAAAGCGUGGGGAGCAAACAGG